This 406-nucleotide ribosomal RNA is filed under the name uncultured bacterium. RNAcentral describes it as "partial 16S ribosomal RNA". It matches the Rfam family "Bacterial small subunit ribosomal RNA", at positions 30 to 526 of the family's 1533-position model. The record is from RNAcentral.
AUUGAACGCUGGCGGCAGGCCUAACACAUGCAAGUCGAACGAGUGGCGGACGGGUGAGUAAUGUCUGGGAAACUGCCUGAUGGAGGGGGAUAACUACUGGAAACGGUAGCUAAUACCGCAUACCAUCGGAUGUGCCCAGAUGGGAUUAGCUAGUGGGUGGGGUAAAGGCUCACCUAGGCGACGAUCCCUAGCUGGUCUGAGAGGAUGACCAGCCACACUGGGACUGAGACACGGUCCAGACUCCUACGGGAGGCAGCAGUGGGGAAUAUUGCACAAUGGGCGAAAGCCUGAUGCAGCCAUGCCGCGUGUAUGAAGAAGGCCUUCGGGUUGUAAAGUACUUUCAGCAGAGAAGCGUUACCCGCAGAAUAAGCACCGGCUAACUCCGUGCCAGCAGCCGCGGUAAUAC